GAGUUUGAUCCUGGCUCAGGACGAACGCUGGCGGCGUGCCUAAUACAUGCAAGUCGAACGAACGGAUAAAGAGCUUGCUCUUUUGAAGUUAGUGGCGGACGGGUGAGUAACACGUGGGUAACCUGCCUCACAGCUGGGGAUAACAUCGAGAAAUCGAUGCUAAUACCGAAUGUGCUGAACAUCAUAAGAUGUUCAAGUGAAAGACGGUUUCGGCUGUCACUGUGAGAUGGACCCGCGCUGGAUUAGCUAGUUGGUAAGGUAAUGGCUUACCAAGGCGACGAUCCAUAGCCGACCUGAGAGGGUGAUCGGCCACAUUGGGACUGAGACACGGCCCAAACUCCUACGGGAGGCAGCAGUAGGGAAUCUUCGGCAAUGGACGAAAGUCUGACCGAGCAACGCCGCGUGAGCGAAGAAGGCCUUC
RNAcentral lists this ribosomal RNA (421 nucleotides) under uncultured Bacillus sp. Its description in RNAcentral is "bacterial SSU rRNA". It matches the Rfam family "Bacterial small subunit ribosomal RNA", at positions 9 to 419 of the family's 1533-position model. Lineage: Bacteria; Bacillati; Bacillota; Bacilli; Caryophanales; Bacillaceae. The record is from RNAcentral.